GUCUUUGACCUCGGAUCAGGUAGGGAUACCCGCUGAACUUAAGCAUAUCAAUAGGCGGA
Molecule: ribosomal RNA, 59 nt
Filed under: Paraconiothyrium sp. WA0000017612
Lineage: Eukaryota; Fungi; Ascomycota; Dothideomycetes; Pleosporales; Didymosphaeriaceae
Description: partial 28S ribosomal RNA
Source: RNAcentral